Molecule: long non-coding RNA, 543 nt
Filed under: Homo sapiens (human)
Lineage: Eukaryota; Metazoa; Chordata; Mammalia; Primates; Hominidae
Description: non-protein coding lnc-PEAK1-5:2
Source: RNAcentral
ACGUAGAAAAGUUUUAAUGAGACAAAUGUCAAACAAGCACAUCAACUUCUUAAAAAACAAAGAAAAUCUGAAAGUUUAAUUACAAAAACACUUAUACAGAAAACUUGGCAUUUCAACAGUUCCAAACACAUGUACACAAGUUUUUUCUAAAAUCAGUCAGAAAUAAAAUACCUUGUCUCCCUUUCCUCAGCUGCUUCUUGUAUUUUAAUUAAAAAGAAACAAAGAAAUCUGUAACACUGAAUAGGCAACAACUUAUUUCUUGAGAACAUAAAAGUACAGUAAUAUCUACAGGUGUACUGGGAAACAUGAGUUAGGUAUUGUGCUAGCCUGUAACUUCAUUUACUGCCUCCUCACUGAGCACAGAGGAGAGAGGAGGUGGCACAGACCUGGUCUAUAGAUACUGACAGUUUUGUGGCAUCUGAAUCCCAGCCACCAGAGGCAGGUGAGUAGCUACUGGGAAAGACAGCAUUUCAGAAGCAAGCUGCUUAUUUUGUGAAAAUGAUUUCAUACUGUAGGCUCUCUUGAAAUCUCAUGCAUUCCUGA